This 424-nucleotide ribosomal RNA is filed under the name uncultured Clostridium sp. RNAcentral describes it as "bacterial SSU rRNA". It matches the Rfam family "Bacterial small subunit ribosomal RNA", at positions 356 to 794 of the family's 1533-position model. Lineage: Bacteria; Bacillati; Bacillota; Clostridia; Eubacteriales; Clostridiaceae. The record is from RNAcentral.
UGGGGAUAUUGCGCAAUGGGGGAAACCCUGACGCAGCAACGCCGCGUGCAGGAAGAAGGUCUUCGGAUUGUAAACUGUUGUCGCAGGGGAAGAAGAAAGUGACGGUACCCUGUGAGAAAGUCACGGCUAACUACGUGCCAGCAGCCGCGGUAAUACGUAGGUGACAAGCGUUGUCCGGAUUUACUGGGUGUAAAGGGCGCGUAGGCGGGAUAGCAAGUCAGUCGUGAAAUGCCGGGGCUUAACCCCGGAGCUGCGAUUGAAACUGUUAUUCUUGAGUAUCGGAGAGGAAAGCGGAAUUCCUAGUGUAGCGGUGAAAUGCGUAGAUAUUAGGAGGAACACCAGUGGCGAAGGCGGCUUUCUGGACGACAACUGACGCUGAGGCGCGAAAGUGUGGGGAGCAAACAGGAUUAGAUACCCUGGUAGU